RNAcentral lists this transfer RNA (73 nucleotides) under Bos taurus (domestic cattle). It matches the Rfam family "tRNA". Rfam says of the family: Transfer RNA (tRNA) molecules are approximately 80 nucleotides in length. Their secondary structure includes four short double-helical elements and three loops (D, anti-codon, and T loops). RNAcentral also lists the same sequence under 4 other names. Lineage: Eukaryota; Metazoa; Chordata; Mammalia; Artiodactyla; Bovidae. The record is from Rfam by way of RNAcentral.
UCCCUGGUGGUUCUGUGGCUAAGACUCUGUGCUCCCAAUGCAGGCAGUCCAGGUUCGAUCCCUGGUCGGGGAA